Molecule: long non-coding RNA, 1067 nt
Organism: Rhinolophus ferrumequinum (greater horseshoe bat)
Lineage: Eukaryota; Metazoa; Chordata; Mammalia; Chiroptera; Rhinolophidae
Exons: 5
Source: RefSeq, a predicted model, not a curated record
GGGACGCAGGCUGGCCAGCAAACCUUACAGAUCUAAUGGACAAGGGCUCGGCAUGGGGUUACGCAGAGACGCCGCACUCAACACUGCCUGUGUGGAACAGGUGAUGGGACGGGAGGCAGGGUCAUUGUGAGGAUCAAAUGAGAUCAUCCAGGGGCUGGCAAAUCUGUGUUUAGUAAACAACAGAUGGUAUGAUUAUCGUUGUCAUUAUUGACAUGUGAGAUGGGAAGCUCUCCUCCCUGAGAAAAGAUGCAGCCGGGCCAUUAGCCCCACAGGCCGCUCCUUAAGCGAACAUCACAGAAGAAACCUCUCAGCUCUACUCGCUGAUCUCAGGUUUUUGGACUUCUGAGAACCCAGCAGCUCCAGGAUAACAGCUCACAUCUCCAAGGCCAGGGGAAGGACAUCUUUUUCUGAGUCACUCAAAUACCCACUCUUGGCUCUGACUGGCUCUGAUGGCUUGGCUGGGGUCAUCUGCCAAUCUCCAAGCCAACACUGUGCAGAGCUGCAUAGUGUGCUAUGCAACUCUGAUUCACAGGUGACUCUCAAGCCAGGGAUUAACUCCACCUAAAGUACACGAGCUGAAAAUGACAAGAGGAGUAGUUCCUCAGAUGAAAAUUGAGGGGCAAUGACCAGAAGAGGGAGGGAGGGAUGCUAGGCAGGGGAACUACAACCGUUCUCCACAGGGAAGAGGCGUAUAUGCACAGGAUCCCUCGGGCCUGGACCUGUGUAAGAAGACAUCAGUGGACUGACACACAGCCCCAGAUACAGGGAGAAAACGAGAUACCACCACAUCCCAGAAAACAGAUGUUGGCCACCCCUCUGGGACUUGGUACUUCAUAGUUAAUUAGCACAUAAUCGUGGCACCCUGAAAUCCACAAGAGUCACCAGCCCAGGCCUCCUUCCUCCCUGAUGGCACUGUGCUGUCUUUGAGUAUAGGGACCAAAGUGUCUCCCCUCUGUACCUGCAGAAACAGAAUGAAUAAUAAUCUUUGGCAGGAUCUGUGAUGGGGAAUUCCCCUCAUUCUGAGGUAGAGCCACUUCCACCACAGCGGCUGACAGUUUCCCAACCUC